This 100-nucleotide small RNA is filed under the name Pan troglodytes (chimpanzee). RNAcentral's name for it is "processed transcript". Lineage: Eukaryota; Metazoa; Chordata; Mammalia; Primates; Hominidae. The record is from RNAcentral.
AUUUCUGAGACUGUCAGCCUUGAAGUGCUGGGUGCCUAUCCUCGACUGUCACUGAGCUUUCGGUUGAAGAGGAACAUUGGAUACUUCAUUCUUCAGACUU